RNAcentral lists this ribosomal RNA (433 nucleotides) under uncultured bacterium. Its description in RNAcentral is "partial 16S ribosomal RNA". It matches the Rfam family "Bacterial small subunit ribosomal RNA", at positions 29 to 507 of the family's 1533-position model. The record is from RNAcentral.
AACGAACGCUGGCGGCAUGCCUAACACAUGCAAGUCGAACGAGACCUUCGGGUGUAGUGGCGCACGGGUGCGUAACGCGUGGGAACCUGCCCUUAGGUUCGGAAUAACUCCCCGAAAGGGGUGCUAAUACCGGAUAAUGUCUUCGGACCAAAGAUUUAUCGCCUUUGGAUGGGCCCGCGUUGGAUUAGCUAGUUGGUAGGGUAAAAGCCUACCAAGGCGACGAUCCAUAGCUGGUUUGAGAGGAUGAUCAGCCACACUGGGACUGAGACACGGCCCAGACUCCUACGGGAGGCAGCAGUGGGGAAUAUUGGACAAUGGGCGAAAGCCUGAUCCAGCAAUGCCGCGUGAGUGAUGAAGGCCUUAGGGUUGUAAAGCUCUUUUACCCGGGAUGAUAAUGACAGUACCGGGAGAAUAAGCUCCGGCUAACUCCGUG